GGGUGCGAUCAUACCAACGUUAAUACACCGGAUCCCAUCAGAACUCUGCAGUUAAGCGUGCUUGGGCUAGAGUAGUACUGGGAUGGGUGACCUCCCCGGAAGUCCUAGUGUUGCACCCU
Molecule: non-coding RNA, 119 nt
Organism: Picea glauca (white spruce)
Lineage: Eukaryota; Viridiplantae; Streptophyta; Pinopsida; Pinales; Pinaceae
Source: Rfam